AAAGCUAAUGACAAUUUGUUGGUCCAAAGUAUAGCGUAACAUUCUUACUAAUUUGUAUUCUGAUCUUGUGCUGUUCUCUUGUCUCCUUUGUCUAGAUUACACAGUCAAGUGUUUACUUGACCAAUGACAUGGGGAUUUCAGUUUUCCCAGGUUCAUCUGGAUUCUUCAGUUGUUUGGACCUCAUGAAUGGUGGGAGUACCUUCCAGGUGAUGGGUGAUGAUGCAUGUGGGCCACUCCCUAGCCCAGUCCCAUUUCACCCAAACCCUGGACAAAGUCGACCUCGUUUCAGCUUUUCCCGAUCUGCCACUGCAACAGUUACACGUGCAGUUAGUCCUGCAGUUAGCCCCAAAAUGUAUCAAAGGGUCUGCGUAUUGGAAACAGAGCUCCAGACGUAUUUUUGCAAUAGCAGAGGAUGUAUUUGCAGAGAUGGGGAGGAGGAAACGUAGGAAACUAGGGCAAACUUCAAGACAUGAGGACUCUGGGCUCUGUGACAUAAAAGACAAAAUCGAGGAGGUCCUUCUAGCAUCGGAGGGUUUACCGGCUGUUUCAGCCAAGCUGAGAGAGCUGUGCAAGCGUAGCGAGGGCCUUACUGAACAGCAGAGUGAGGUUCUAAGAACCUCGUUCAAGUGCUGUGUGUGCAGAGGAGUGAUGGACAGUCCCGUAUUGGCACGCUGCUGUCGCAGUCUAAUUGGCUGUAGACAGUGUGUUGAUUUAUUUGUUCAGGAAGGUCAAGCAUGUGUAAAAUGCAGGUCUGCCAUUUCAAGAGAAUCAAUUGUGGUUGUUGCUGGCCUCUCUGAAGUUUUAAAUGUUAUUAAGGCCUUAGAUGAGCAGUACAGCUCGGCCUGAGGUUGCAACGGUUAGUGUAGCAUUCUGAAGGAUAAAACAUAUGGCAAUAUGGACAUUUUUAAUACAAUAUAAAAAGUGUUUAUUUGCCAUGUGUCUAUUACCAUGUUUUGUUUUUUAAUACCAUUUCUAAUCUGAUUUGCAUUUUGAAUGUUUAAACAAUUCGUUGUAAUGUUUUUAUUCAUCAGGUCUGUUGACUGUUUUGUAAUAGUUUUUCUCAGCAUUCUUGAUGCGAAGUCAAUGUUUGCAUGUAACACGUUAAUGCAAAUAUGUAGUUUACACUAAAAAAUACAAUAUGCAAACUGAAAGAUUUUAAUAUUUCAUUGUAAUAGGUUUGUUAACUGUUUUGUAAUAGUUGUUGUCAGUAAUAUGUAAUACUUUAAUGCAUACCAAUGCAAUAAUAACAAUGCAAUGUAAACUGAUUGUUCCAGGCCAUCUUUUUCAAACCAUGGCCAUCUGUUUGUGAAAUGUUAAAGACGUUAAUGUUUUAAACAUGUUCUGUUUGCAUGCAGUGGCAUACUGAGUAAAAACAAAAUAAAGUUGUAGUUCAUUUACAUUUAAUUUAUUAGACUAUUUUGUCAGUACCAGUUUGUUUUGCUUUAAACUGACCAAUACAAAUCAUUGACUUAAAUGAUC
Cyprinus carpio carpio is the source of this 1479-nucleotide long non-coding RNA. The record is from Ensembl. NCBI's taxonomy places the organism in Eukaryota, Metazoa, Chordata, Actinopteri, Cypriniformes, Cyprinidae.